RNAcentral lists this ribosomal RNA (497 nucleotides) under uncultured bacterium. Its description in RNAcentral is "partial 16S ribosomal RNA". It matches the Rfam family "Bacterial small subunit ribosomal RNA", at positions 28 to 507 of the family's 1533-position model. The record is from RNAcentral.
GAUGAACGCUGGCGGCGUGCCUAAUACAUGCAAGUCGAGCGAACAGACGAGGAGCUUGCUCCUCUGACGUUAGCGGCGGACGGGUGAGUAACACGUGGAUAACCUACCUAUAAGACUGGGAUAACUUCGGGAAACCGGAGCUAAUACCGGAUAAUAUAUUGAACCGCAUGGUUCAAUAGUUAAAGACGGUUUUGCUGUCACUUAUAGAUGGAUCCGCGCCGCAUUAGCUAGUUGGUAAGGUAACGGCUUACCAAGGCAACGAUGCGUAGCCGACCUGAGAGGGUGAUCGGCCACACUGGAACUGAGACACGGUCCAGACUCCUACGGGAGGCAGCAGUAGGGAAUCUUCCGCAAUGGGCGAAAGCCUGACGGAGCAAAGCCGCGUGAGUGAUGAAGGUCUUCGGAUCGUAAAACUCUGUUAUUAGGGAAGAACAAAUGUGUAAGUAACUAUGCACGUCUUGACGGUACCUAAUCAGAAAGCCACGGCUAACUACGUG